Molecule: ribosomal RNA, 308 nt
Filed under: uncultured Caldisericota bacterium
Lineage: Bacteria; Pseudomonadati; Caldisericota
Description: bacterial SSU rRNA
Rfam family: Bacterial small subunit ribosomal RNA
Source: RNAcentral
GACUAACGCUGGCAGUGUGCCUUACACAUGCAAGUCGGACGGAGGACUUCGGUCCUUAGUGGCAAACGGGUGAGUAAUGGAUAGGUCAUCUACCGGGAAGCGGGGAAUACCCCCUCGAAAGAGGGAACAAUACCCCGUACGCUCCUCACGGAGGAAAGGCGGUGCAAGCCGUCGCUUUCCGAUGAGCCUAUCUCCUAUCAGCUAGUUGGUGAGGUAAUAGCUCACCAAGGCGAUGACGGGUAGCUGGUCUGAGAGGAUGAUCAGCCACACUGGAACUGAGACACGGUCCAGACUCCUACGGGAGGCUG